Molecule: ribosomal RNA, 524 nt
Filed under: uncultured bacterium
Lineage: Bacteria
Description: bacterial SSU rRNA
Rfam family: Bacterial small subunit ribosomal RNA
Source: RNAcentral
AAUAGAUACCCCGGUAGUCCACGCCGUAAACGAUGAGUGCUAAGUGUUAGAGGGUUUCCGCCCUUUAGUGCUGCAGCUAACGCAUUAAGCACUCCGCCUGGGGAGUACGGCCGCAAGGCUGAAACUCAAAGGAAUUGACGGGGGGCCCGCACAAGCGGUGGAGCAUGUGGUUUAAUUCGAAGCAACGCGAAGAACCUUACCAGGUCUUGACAUCCUCUGCCAACCCUAGAGAUAGGGCGUUCCCCUUCGGGGGGACAGAGUGACAGGUGGUGCAUGGUUGUCGUCAGCUCGUGUCGUGAGAUGUUGGGUUAAGUCCCGCAACGAGCGCAACCCUUGAUCUUAGUUGCCAGCAUUUAGUUGGGCACUCUAAGGUGACUGCCGGUGACAAACCGGAGGAAGGUGGGGAUGACGUCAAAUCAUCAUGCCCCUUAUGACCUGGGCUACACACGUGCUACAAUGGAUGGUACAAAGAGCUGCAAACCCGUGAGGGUAAGCGAAUCUCAUAAAGCCAUUCUCAGUUCGGA